Schistocerca serialis cubense is the source of this 533-nucleotide long non-coding RNA. RefSeq lists it as uncharacterized. The record is from RefSeq and is a predicted model, not a curated record. The transcript is spliced from 2 exons. Lineage: Eukaryota; Metazoa; Arthropoda; Insecta; Orthoptera; Acrididae.
GGCUCAGUAUGCAGCUGAAUUUAAUACAAAAAAAGCAAGGGCAGCAAGGAGAAGAAAGCUUCUAGGUGAAGAAGAAGAACUAGAAGAUGACCCUGAUUACUCUGCUGGACACUUUUGAUAAUAGAAUAAAAGGAGCUUGUGCAGUAGGUGGUGGUUCCACCUGUCAUCACUUCACCAAGGAAUUCGGAGGUAGCUGACACAGACUGCACAUUGUAUGAACAAGAGUCAAUUUUGCAGCUACCACUAAUUGUUCCAGCUGACCAUAUGGAUCUCGUGGGCCCCGAAGUCGUCUUACCUUCUCAAUCGUCUGCUUCGGGGCAUGAGAGUGUGCCUAAACGUCGGAGAUUAAGCAUGGAAACAGAUUAGACACGUAAUUUGUCUACUCCAGAGCUCAAAGGCUGAUGCUAUUGUAUCAAUUGGACAUACUGAAACGAAAGCAGCAGAAAUUGAUGCGUGAUGAAGAUAAACAAUAAAACAAAUUGUGUAGUGUCUUAUUUACAUACCGAAUUUUAUUAAUAAAAACAUCUUUUUAA